GCGUAACUCAACAGGUAAGUCAGCUUCCCACCGGCCCACCGAUGCAGCACAAAUUUUAUGAUUAUCAUUUGUAAUUAAGAGAGGACACAUGUAUAACUAGUAUAAAUACUCCCAAUAUAACCAUGACAAACCAAAGCGGCAUAGUUUUGUUUUCUUUACCAUCACUUGCUUGCCUCAAAUAUUCAUCUAUCCUUUUUCCUCAAUAUAAAUUUGGAUCCAUAAUGAUAUAUCAACACUCACAAAUGGAGACUAAUCAAGAAAGAGAGAUUGAGUAUAGUCGUGCUAGCAAAAUGAAUGCAUAUAUUCAUAGCCAAAUUAUGAGAAUUAGAGCAGAAGAUUCACAGCUUGGGGAAGAUAUAGCUAAGAAGCUUAGGGAGAGAGUUGUUGAUCAGGAUGUUGCUUCUGUUUUUAUGUUGUCUUCUAGGCCUAUGUUGCCUGCUUCACCACUUGGUGGAAAAACGCCAAUCAAGUCUGCUACCUAGGAAGAUUUAAUCUAUGCUUGGGAAUAGGGCCAUACACCGCCUACAGGAAAAAGGGAUGACGUAAAUAGAGAUGGAGAUGAAGUUACUAUCUUAUCACUUCCGUUAAUGUAUAUUUUGAUGUACAGUAUAAUACGUAGGAAGAAAAUAGACGGAAUCUCCAACUUCCACUAUGUAUAUUAAAAUAUUGAAAUACCAAAAACGUAGUUGAUAAGCAAAGUUAAGAGAAUAGUGUAGUGAUUACUUACCCGUCAAUGUACAAAAAGUUAAUGAACACGUACGUUAGUAUGGUGAAUAUAUCAACAUCAAUGUAUUUGGAAAGAA
Long non-coding RNA from Solanum pennellii, 803 nucleotides. RefSeq lists it as uncharacterized. The transcript is spliced from 2 exons. NCBI's taxonomy places the organism in Eukaryota, Viridiplantae, Streptophyta, Magnoliopsida, Solanales, Solanaceae. The record is from RefSeq and is a predicted model, not a curated record.